Molecule: ribosomal RNA, 773 nt
Filed under: uncultured archaeon
Lineage: Archaea
Description: bacterial SSU rRNA
Rfam family: Archaeal small subunit ribosomal RNA
Source: RNAcentral
CGGUUGAUCCUGCCGGAGGUUACUGCUAUCGGAGUUCGAUUAAGCCAUGCGAGUCUAAAGGUUUCUUUCGAGAAACCUUGGCGGACUGCUCAGUAACACGUGGAUAACCUACCCUUGGGACUGGGAUGACCCCGGGAAACUGGGGAUAAUACCGGAUAAGCCAUAGACGCUGGAAUGCCCUAUGGUUCAAAGCUCCGGCGCCCAAGGAUGGGUCUGCGGUCUAUCAGGUUGUAGUGGGUGUAACGUACCUACUAGCCGACGACGGAUACGGGUUGUGAGAGCAAGAGCCCGGAGAUGGAUUCUGAGACACGAAUCCAGGCCCUACGGGGUGCAGCAGGCGCGAACACUUUACAAUGCGGGAAACCGCGAUAAGGGAACCCCGAGUGCCAGCAUCAAAUGUUGGCUGUCCAGAUGAUUAAAAAUCAUUUGUUAGCAAGGGCCGGGCAAGACCGGUGCCAGCCGCCGCGGUAACACCGGCGGCCCGAGUGGUAGCCGUUUUUAUUGGGUCUAAAGGGUCCGUAGCCGGCCUGAUAAGUCCUUUGGGAAAUCUGGCAGCUUAACUGUCAGGCUUCUAAGGGAUACUGUCAGGCUUGGGACCGGAAGAGGUAAGGGGUACUCCAGGGGUAGGAGUGAAAUCUUGUAAUCCCUGGGGGACCAUCUGUGGCGAAGGCGCCUUACCAGAACGGGUCCGACGGUGAGGGACGAAAGCUAGGGGAGCAAACCGGAUUAGAUACCCGGGUAGUCCUAGCUGUAAACGAUGCUCGCUAGGUGUC